AGCUCCAAUAGCGUAUAUUAACGUUGUUGCAGUUAAAAAGCUCGUAGUUGGAUUUCUGGCAGGAGCGACCGGUCACACACUCUGUGUGUGAAUUUGUGUUGUCUCUGGCCAUCCUUGGGGAGAUCCUGUUUGGCAUUAAAUUGUCAGGCAGGGGAUACCCAUUGUUUACUGUGAAAAAACAUAGAGUGUUUAAAGCAGGCUUAUGCCGUUGAAUAUAUUAGCAAAGGAUAAUAAGAUAGGACUUCGGAACUAGUUUGUUGGUUUGCAUUACAAAGUAAUGAUUAAUAGGGACAGUUGGGGGUAUUCGUAUUUCGUUGUCAGAGGUGAAAUUCUUUGAUCUCCGAAAGACGAGCUACUGUGAACGCAUUUACCAAGGAUGUUUUCA
This 385-nucleotide ribosomal RNA is filed under the name uncultured eukaryote. Its description in RNAcentral is "SSU rRNA". It matches the Rfam family "Eukaryotic small subunit ribosomal RNA", at positions 587 to 972 of the family's 1831-position model. The record is from RNAcentral.